GAUGAACCGCUUCGGUGGUGGAUUAGUGGCGAACGGGUGAGUAACACGUGGGCAAUCUGCCCUUCACUCUGGGACAAGCCCUGGAAACGGGGUCUAAUACCGGAUAAUACUCUUUUCUGCAUGGGAGGGGGUUGAAAGCUCCGGCGGUGAAGGAUGAGCCCGCGGCCUAUCAGCUUGUUGGUGGGGUAAUGGCCUACCAAGGCGACGACGGGUAGCCGGCCUGAGAGGGCGACCGGCCACACUGGGACUGAGACACGGCCCAGACUCCUACGGGAGGCAGCAGUGGGGAAUAUUGCACAAUGGGCGAAAGCCUGAUGCAGCGACGCCGCGUGAGGGAUGACGGCCUUCGGGUUGUAAACCUCUUUCAGCAGGGAAGAAGCGCAAGUGACGGUACCUGCAGAAGAAGCGCCGGCUAACUACGUGCCAGCAGCCGCGGUAAUACGUAGGGCGCAAGCGUUGUCCGGAAUUAUUGGGCGUAAAGAGCUCGUAGGCGGCUUGUCACGUCGGAUGUGAAAGCCCGGGGCUUAACCCCGGGUCUGCAUUCGAUACGGGCUAGCUAGAGUGUGGUAGGGGAGAUCGGAAUUCCUGGUGUAGCGGUGAAAUGCGCAGAUAUCAGGAGGAACACCGGUGGCGAAGGCGGAUCUCUGGGCCAUUACUGACGCUGAGGAGCGAAAGCGUGGGGAGCGAACAGGAUUAGAUACCCUGGUAGUCCACGCCGUAAACGUUGGGAACUAGGUGUUGGCGACAUUCCACGUCGUCGGUGCCGCAGCUAACGCAUUAAGUUCCCCGCCUGGGGAGUACGGCCGCAAGGCUAAAACUCAAAGGAAUUGACG
This 833-nucleotide ribosomal RNA is filed under the name Streptomyces sp. MJAU D0069. Its description in RNAcentral is "bacterial SSU rRNA". It matches the Rfam family "Bacterial small subunit ribosomal RNA", at positions 68 to 915 of the family's 1533-position model. RNAcentral also lists the same sequence under 1 other name. Lineage: Bacteria; Bacillati; Actinomycetota; Actinomycetes; Kitasatosporales; Streptomycetaceae. The record is from RNAcentral.